This 644-nucleotide ribosomal RNA is filed under the name uncultured fungus. RNAcentral describes it as "eukaryotic LSU rRNA". It matches the Rfam family "Eukaryotic large subunit ribosomal RNA", at positions 24 to 664 of the family's 3401-position model. The record is from RNAcentral. Lineage: Eukaryota; Fungi.
CCCGCUGAACUUAAGCAUAUUAUUAAGCGGAGGAAAAGAAACUAACUAGGAUUCCCUUAGUAGCGGCGAGCGAAGAGGGAAGAGCUCAAUGUGAAAAACGAUAACCUGGUUAUCGAAUUGUAACUGGAAUGUUACCAGUGAUGCAUCAGGGGUAAGUCUCUUGGAAUAGAGCGCCACAGAGGGUGAAGGCCCCGUCCUUACUCUGAAUGUAUCACGCUCGGUGCGUUUCCUAUGAGUCGUGUUCCUUGGGAGUGGAGCGCAAAAUGGGUGGUAGACUUCAUCCACGGCUAAAUACUGGUGGGAUACCGAUAGCAAAGAAGUACCGUGAGGGAAAGAUGAAAAGAACUUUGGAAAGAGAGUUAAACAGUAUGUGAAAUUGUUGAAAGGGAAACGUUUGAAGUCAGUCGCGUUGGUUGGGGAUCAGCCUGACAUUGUUGGGUUUACUUCCUGGUCGACGGGCCAACAUCAGUUUUGACUGCCAGAAAAAGGCCAAAGGAAUGUGGCACCUUUGGGUGUGUUAUAACCAUUGGUCGUAUAUGGUGGUUGGGACUGAGGAAAGCAGCGUGCCGAAAGGCCGGGUUUCGACCACGUUCACGCUGAGGAUGUUGGCAUAAUGGCUUUAAGCGACCCGUCUUGAAACACGG